GAUGAACGCUAGCGGGAGGCCUAACACGUGCAAGCCGAGCGGUAGAGUUUCUUCGGAAACUUGAGAGCGGCGCACGGGUGCGUAACACGUGUGCAACCUACCUUUAUCUGGGGGAUAGCCUUUCGAAAGGAAGAUUAAUACCCCAUAAUAUAAUGAUUGGCAUCAAUUAUUAUUGAAAACUCCGGUGGAUAGAGAUGGGCACGCGCAAGAUUAGAUAGUUGGUGAGGUAACGGCUCACCAAGUCAAUGAUCUUUAGGGGUCCUGAGAGGGAGAUCCCCCACACUGGUACUGAGACACGGACCAGACUCCUACGGGAGGCAGCAGUGAGGAAUAGUGGACAAUGGGUGAGAGCCUGAUCCAGCCAUCCCGCGUGAAGGAUGACGGUCCUAUGGAUUGUAAACUUCUUUUGUACAGGGAUAAACCUACCCUCGUGAGGGUAGCUGAAGGUACUGUACGAAUAAGCACCGGCUAACUCCGUG
RNAcentral lists this ribosomal RNA (479 nucleotides) under uncultured bacterium. RNAcentral describes it as "partial 16S ribosomal RNA". It matches the Rfam family "Bacterial small subunit ribosomal RNA", at positions 28 to 507 of the family's 1533-position model. The record is from RNAcentral.